Molecule: non-coding RNA, 3037 nt
Organism: Microcebus murinus (gray mouse lemur)
Lineage: Eukaryota; Metazoa; Chordata; Mammalia; Primates; Cheirogaleidae
Source: RefSeq, a predicted model, not a curated record
CAGAGAGGUUUGAAGAUGUUUGGGUAGUAUCUGGACCAUUGACCUUACCUCAAACUAGAAGUGAUGGAAAGAAAGCAGUUAGUUAUCAGGCAAUGAAGCAUAUAUGUGUUUUUAUUUUGGAGGAAGUGAAACAAAUGAACUGGCAUUUAUUGAGGGCUGUGUAUGUCAGGUGGUAUCUGAGGUCAUCCAUGUGCUUUCUCUGAUGUGCCUGUUUCAAGAAGAGAUUGAUUCCAGACAAUUGAAACAUACCUGAAGAUUCUGGCUUGGACAUUAUAAAUGACCUGACAAGAAAGUGAGCUUCAGCUUUUCCAACUCAGUGGUGUUGGUAAUGUUAGAAGUAUUUGCCAAUCUGUGUUCUCCUUCUAUAGCAGCACUUCCCAAACUUCCACCGGCCAACCCUAGAGUGGGAGGAUUUGAAAACGUGCCCCCAGGAGUCUUGAGGCAUCACCUGAAGUGAAAAGGGAGUAAUUUUUUUUUUAAGUCUUAUGUUUUAUAUUUAGGGAAAGCUUUUGUUCAUUUCCAUAUCUAUUCAUUUGAAUGAAAAGUAAAUUAUUUUACUGAUUGUCUCCUUACACCCUGUACUUCCCACCCUACCCCAUAAAUCUUCAAGUACUAUUGACAGUCUGGGAAGAAGGCACUUGUUUGACUGGGACUUAACAGGCUUCUACCCAUUGGCCCAGAGCAGGUACCCCAGCGUGAGAAGUACUGUCUUCCAGGGUUUGAGCUACCGCACAAGCAUCCGCUGAGGCGUUACAGAUAACACAAGGGGCAACCACAUUUUUGUUGACUUUCCUACACCUUGUGACUCCCUCACUUUUCUCAUUCCUUCUCUCCUCUCAGGGGAAUAGAACCAAAUAUAUCUAUCUGAUUCUAAGAGGUACAUAUUUUUUCCUUAUGGCCCUACUUAAUGUUUCAUUUAAGGCACAAUUGCUGUACAUACGGCAUUACAAACAGCAGGUUUAGUGUGGGUGUUGGUUGUUGCAGGUCUCUUCUGGGGCCAGGGGAUGGAAUGUUGGUGGCAAAUUGUCGUUUCUGUUUCUUAUCAAAGGAAACAAGCUCAGGCCAGCAUAUGAGAAAGGUAACUUUGAGUUGUGAGUGAGUGCCCACUUAUGUAUUGUAUUUUUUAGUUAUUCCCAGUCAGUUUCCAAUUUUUGUUACAAUCUUGACAAGAGUUUAGUGCUUUUUUAGUAUUUAACAGCAGAGUGAGGGUUUCCUUUGUAAAGUAUUUUUAUACCUAAAUCUUAUAUGAAAAAGGGUUGUUGCUGAUUUACUGAUACCAAAUACUAGGUUCUUGUUAAGCCUUCAAGCCGUUGUUUGGGACAUCCUUUGUGUCCAACUUGCUUUCUCUUCCUGAAAGCCCAUUGUUGACUUUCAGCUGAUCUAAUCCUGCUUGAUUCCCUCGGCAAAACCAUCUUUUGUACCCAGUGCAGUUGUAGUCCCCAUCUUUUGAGUCAUGUCCACUACAGAAAUAGCUUUUUACAUAGUCUUGUGUGUUUGAAAUUUUUUUUAAACUAACAUGUCAUGGUAUGUAUCUUCCUAACAAUUUCAUGAGAGAGGCAGCAUGGGUAUUGCUAUUACCUAUUUCAUAAAUGACCAGAUCUCUGCCUCAGUACCAUAGGUGUGUUUAGAAACAUUUUCUGGAAGUCUUCCAGUUUUCCCCAAUGUGAGAAAAAUUUAUUACGCAGUUUUGAAUUAUCUACAAAGAAGAAGAUAGCUCGAAAAUAUUUUAAGAUCAAUUUUUUAAAAAUUAUCCUAAAUUCAAGGAAGAAACAGUGGGUUUUCUAAAUUUCCAAAAAGGACUGGUCCCUGUUUUAGACAGGUUAGAGAUGUUUCCUUCUUGAGAACCAAGCUCACUGAAUCAAAGAAGAGAUAAUGAAUAGUUAAGUUUUUAUUUUUCUCCUUAUUUCUAGGGAUAGUAGUUUACCCCUUUGAAAUAUUUUGAGUAGAAGGGGUCACACCUUGUGGUUCCUAAUAGGAAUUUUUAUGUCUAUGAAGUUGCUCAAAAGUAGUAAUGGACGUCCUUUUUAGCUAUUAUGAGAGUUUUUAAAAACCUAUAGAAAUGGUACAUUUCCGUGAAGUAAGGCUGUGGUACUUAAAAUGUCACACUUCUUUUGGGUGGAAUUUAAUGAGCCUGAUUAGAAGCUCUUGUUGGCAGCAAAUGGGCAUGACCAGUUAAUUAUUUUUGAAAAUUGCCAUGUGUUUGUAGACAAGGAGUCCAUGAGGAGAGAAAAUAAUCAAGGGAAUGGUUGGAAUCUGAGAACUGUGCUGCAGUGAUGAGAAAUGUCCACGAGGUGGCACCAAGAAUUUGCUUAAGUGUGGGAUCCCCAGCUAGGGCCUGGAACACUUACAGCCCAUUUCAACCUCCCCCCCUUGUGAACUGUGGCCCAGCUGCAGCUGUGCCCUCAGUUCUGGUCCCCAACUUCCACUGAACCCCUCUAGUGCUGCUAUUUGUGUGCUAUAUUGGCAUCUAACCACAUUCUGCCUGCAGCGAAAGCUGUGGGUAUUGGCUCCCCCUCCAGAUGAUAAGUUUCUUGAAAGUAGGCACCAGCUACAUUUACUUUAAAACUUAUUCCUUCCUGUGCUUCCAGCAGUGCCAGGCACAGGACCUCUGAGUUGCAUUGUUGAAUUAACAUCUCUUGGUGAUCUGUGGGCUAAUUGUGGACCUCCAUAGGGCUCACUCUCAAUAUAUUUUUUUGCUUUGAAGUGUAUGUUUAUUUUCCCGGGUGCAUGAAUGAUUUUGGGGGGUAAGAGUGGGGAUUUUGUCUUGUUGAUUGUGUAGUUUCAUAGACUACACCACACCCUGACCAACCAACUUCAAAGACAAUUGGUUAUAGAAAUCAUUCCUGUGUUUGGGUCUUCCCUGCAGUCCUGCAGUUGGUCUUGGCAGUGGGACCUCCACGUGUGACAGACAGCAGAUGGCUGUGGAGUUCCCAUGCUGUGUGCCAUGUAGGUGAUUGGUGAUGACAAUGUGGCAGUCCCCUCACACCUUUAUAAGGUGAUCCUGGCCCGCAGAAGCCCAGUAUCUACUGAACCUCUG